This 343-nucleotide small nuclear RNA is filed under the name Castor canadensis (American beaver). RNAcentral describes it as "7SK RNA (ENSCCNG00000007399.1)". It matches the Rfam family "7SK RNA". Rfam says of the family: 7SK was discovered as an abundant small nuclear RNA in the mid-70s but a possible function has only recently been suggested. Two independent studies have found that 7SK RNA binds the CDK9/cyclin T complex (known as elongation factor P-TEFb). Lineage: Eukaryota; Metazoa; Chordata; Mammalia; Rodentia; Castoridae. The record is from RNAcentral.
GGAUGUGAGGGCAAUCUGGCUGCGACAUCUGUCAUCCUUUGAUCACCAGGGUUGAUUCGUCUGAUCUGGCUGGCUAAGUGGGUGUCCCCUUCCUCCCUCACCGCUCCAUACGUGUCCCUCCAGAAGCUGUGAGCUCUGUGGAAGAGGACGACCAACCCCUAUAGAGGAGGACCAUUCUUCAGUCAAGGGUAUACGAGUAGUCGCGCUCCCCUGCUAGAACCUCCAAACAAGCUCUCAAAACUAUUCUAGGAAUGGGGGAGGUGGAAAAAGGAGAAUGAUGGAAGAGGUGAAUUCAACUAUGAUAUAUUAUAAGAACUUUUGUAAAUGUCACAGUGUACCCUUA